GCUUUUAGUGCAAUCAGCAUGAGGACUUAGCACCGCUAAUACUUAAGAGUGUGUCAUAUCCAAAAAUAGAUUUACAAGAGAACAGGUUUAAUUCCGCACUGGUCAAGAACCAAGAACUGUAAAGAACCAAUCAUAAUAUAGACCAAGAAUUGUCUGGUGUGCACAGACAUUGCCACUACACAAAAAGACUUAUGCAUUAGACAGAAGAUGACUUUCCUGCAUGUACCCACACAUUAAAUAAAGACACAAAAAGUGGCUCUCCCUAAUCUUAUUUCAAUGAGGAAUAGAACAGGUGAAUUAAAAGGGAUGCGUUAAACUGUACAUAUCAGUGCACCUAUAUACAUGUGUCCGCCUCUAUGAACAUCUGUGUUGGUAUCGCUUGGGAGUGGAGUACACAUGCACCUUGACGCAACCAGAGUGGACCAUUUUCAGUGGAUGCAGCAACACAUUUCAAUAGUCAUGCUUCCAUUUAAAUGCACCAGAAAGAGCAUAAGUAAGUAAAAUGAGCUCUGUAACUUAUUCAAAUGUCUUUUAUUUUAGCUUAUGUGUAUAUGUAACUGUAAUAUGACUCCUGGGCUAUUCUCUAUUGCUAAUCUUUUAAUCUAGUGCCUGGUACUCAGAGUGGAAUCUUUGGUCAACCAUACAAAUAACACAGUACCUGUGUGGAAUGCAGGAUCCUCCAGAGAGAUCACACUCUAGAACAGUGCCGCGUGAACCUUUUACUAGAUGGGUCCCCAAUUAUCAGAGGGUGUCUUAUGAGACCUCAAAACAGACAGUUUGCAUUAAAAAUACUGCAUAUUGUUAUAUUGGGGACCAAAAACAAAGAUUUGGGACCCAUAAUGAGUGGUCAAACCAUAGGUUGCACCCCCCCCCCUCAAUUAUCAAGAUUCUGUAUACACGAAAGUCGCUUCACACAAUGAAAUUAUUUGUUGCAUUGUAUUCCUGAAUGCAAAGGUCUGUAGUAUACGUUUGACUUAUUAAAUUAACAAAAGAA
Long non-coding RNA from Pseudophryne corroboree (corroboree frog), 994 nucleotides. RefSeq lists it as uncharacterized. Lineage: Eukaryota; Metazoa; Chordata; Amphibia; Anura; Myobatrachidae. The transcript has 3 exons. The record is from RefSeq and is a predicted model, not a curated record.